AGAGUGAAGAAGAAGAGGAGGAAGAGGAAUGGCAAAGGGAAGAGAGAGAAGAGGGAGAAGGAAGAAGAGGAGGAGAUUAUGCACGACACUUGUUAAAAUUGCAACACUGAGACGGUAUUAGCAGCCCAGUUCUUCAUUUGAGAAGACCAAAGCACAGAGGGGCUAAGUGAUUUGCCCGGGCCCACACAGCUGGGUUGUUGCUGAGCCAGCAUUUGAAACCAGGCUACAUCCUUGAAUCUCAGCUUGGACUUGGUAUCAUUCAGAGUCCUACCAAGAGAAUCAAAACCACUUCAGGGCCCAGAUGGAAGCCAGCUGACAUGCAAGCCUGGGAACUGCAGCCUGCAGAGAUCAACAACCCCACGGAGUCACAGAGCAGAGCAGGUGAAGGAAGAAGAAUGGGUUUGAGGCAAACAGGGCCAGGAUCGGCAGGCCUUGUCCUCCAGGAAGCCUUUCCCACCCCACCUCAGGCUGGAAUAGGGGCCUUCGUAGGCUGAAUGAUGGCCUCCCAAAAAUGUUCACUUCUUAAUCCCUCAACCCUCUGAAUAUUACCUUAUAUGACAAAAGAUGUGACUAAGACGUGUUAAGGAUCUUGAAAAGAGAGACUGAAGCUGGGUUUUCUGGAUGGGCUUCAUAGACAGACACACAGAAGAAAAGGCAAUGU
Molecule: long non-coding RNA, 661 nt
Filed under: Homo sapiens (human)
Lineage: Eukaryota; Metazoa; Chordata; Mammalia; Primates; Hominidae
Description: HSALNT0330829
Source: RNAcentral